GAUUUUUCCAAAACAGUCAAAACACUGCGAGGCGCCAUUUUUGGGCGAAUUGAACAGGAAAAAAAGCCAUGUGUCAAGCACUUUUCGUCCUUACAGAAAUGUCACGGUGUAGAGAGAUCACGAGUUGCAAGAGAUUUUACACUACAGAAAACAGACUUUCCUGCUGCUUGGGUUGUACUUGGGAGGUGUUCAUUGGAUUUCCUUCCGGAUCAAAGCCAAGGAUGCGUUGCUUAUCUUUGAGGUAGGACUUGAAGUAAUACAGCUCACUGCCAGGUUCCUUAGCCACUUUGUAAAACAACACCUCAGGACUGUCUCUUUUAACUUCUUUAAGGGUGUCACUUUG
This is a non-coding RNA of Pocillopora verrucosa, 343 nucleotides long. Lineage: Eukaryota; Metazoa; Cnidaria; Anthozoa; Scleractinia; Pocilloporidae. The record is from RefSeq and is a predicted model, not a curated record.